UGUUUCCAAAACACUUCUUAGUAAAAUACUAAAAUCCACCAGCAAAAAUACAGCAGACCCAGCAUAUUGACUAGAUAAAGAUUCUGGUCAAGAAUUUCUACAGCAGCAGGAUCAUACAUGUGGGGAAGAAAACGAAGAGAUCUCCCCCUCACCAACAAAUAGAAUAGCAAUACUAUUCUGGAAAAUACAAAAUGCCUAAAGCUGUACAGAACAAAUUGCAAAGACUAAAGAAUUAAGAACAAAAGUACUUUGUGACUAGUAGCGGAUUUUGACCACAAGGAUAGAGGACUCAGCAACUCUAUCAAGAUUGGAAAAUUUUCCACCCUUGACUCUGUAGAAUAAUAAAAGAGAAAGCUUCCAAGGUCUACAUCAAGAUCUCAGGAGCCCAUUCUGGCCCAAUGACUCAACUCUGAAAAACGAAAGGAAACUACAAACUGGGGCACCAAAUUCGAGUCAAUAAGACUAUAAGAGUCGUAUGUUGGUCUUCUGGAAAUUGGAAAGAUACAUCGUGCAAGACGCAUUCUAAAUACAAUGUAUAACGGCCCGAUAAGCGAAAAAAAGGCAACGGCGAAAUUUCCACCACUAAUCAAGAAUUAACGUACACAUAAUGAGAUUAGACAGAAAUACAAAACCGGAUACAACUCCAGACAAUUUAAUGCAACCUAUAUUGCAGUACAUAAGAAUUCAGAAUCCUAGCACCCAACAACUCCCCUCCGAUGAGAGGGAAAAAGAAAUAACCCAGCCACAAAGUUUUAAUUGAGAAAAUCACAAAACCAAUCAAGAAAAAUGAAGGCAGUCAUACAGAUCUAGCGUAAAAACCUCGCAGAACCCUAUCGCAGAACCCUAUCUGGAACAGAAUCAAUCAGACAGUAUUUUCAAAUAGAUAACCCAAAAUAAGCUUCUCAAAUUUCCCAAAAACCUAAAUCAUGGAUUAAAAAGUUGAAAAAUAAGACAACCAACAUUCGAAAAUUUGAGAAAUGCACACAAAAAUACACAAGGGAAAAGAGAUCAAUGGGCGAGAAUAAUAC
Molecule: unclassified non-coding RNA, 1028 nt
Filed under: Hevea brasiliensis (rubber tree)
Lineage: Eukaryota; Viridiplantae; Streptophyta; Magnoliopsida; Malpighiales; Euphorbiaceae
Source: RNAcentral